RNAcentral lists this transfer RNA (68 nucleotides) under Nectoporus subrotundus. RNAcentral's name for it is "tRNA-Trp". Lineage: Eukaryota; Metazoa; Arthropoda; Insecta; Coleoptera; Dytiscidae. The record is from RNAcentral.
AAGGAUUUAAGUUAAAAAAAACUCACAGCCUUCAAAGCUGUAAAUAAAGGAGAGAGCUUUAAGCCUUG